CACCUUCGAAGGCUAAGUACUCCUGACUGACCGAUAGUGAACCAGUACCGUGAGGGAAAGGUGAAAAGCACCCCGACGAGGGGAGUGAAACAGUACCUGAAACCGAACGCCUACAAUCAGUUGGAGCAUCCUUGCGAUGUGACAGCGUACCUUUUGUAUAAUGGGUCAUCGACUUGGUCUAUCUAGCAAGCUUAAGCCGUUAGGUGUAGGCGCAGCGAAAGCGAGUCUUAAUAGGGCGAAUGAGUUAGAUGGAUCAGACCCGAAACCGAGUGAUCUAGGCAUGACCAGGAUGAAGGUAAGGUAACACUUACUGGAGGUCCGAACCCACACCUGUUGAAAAAGGUCGGGAUGAGUUGUGCCUAGGGGUGAAAGGCCAAUCAAACUCGGAGAUAGCUGGUUCUCCGCGAAAUCUAUUUAGGUAGAGCGUCAUCCGAAUACCCCGGGGGGUAGAGCACUGGAUGGGUAAUGGGGCCCCACAGGCUUACUGAUCCUAACCAAACUCCGAAUACCCGGGAGUACUAGAUGGCAGACACACGGCGGAUGCUAACGUCCGUCGUGGAGAGGGAAACAACCCUGACCGACAGUUAAGGCCCCCAAUUCAUGGCUAAGUGGGAAAGCAGGUGGGACGACCAAAACAACCAGGAGGUUGGCUUAGAAGCAGCCAUCCUUUAAAGAUAGCGUAACAGCUCACUGGUCUAAAUAAGCUGUCUUGCGGCGAAGAUGUAACGGGGCUCAAGCCAUGAGCCGAAGCUGAGGAUGCACAUAGUGCAUGGUAGCGGAGCGUAGUGUGACAUAGUUCCAUGCGUCUUUAGCCUUCUUCGGAAGGCGUUGGACGCAAGGAGCUUUCAGUGAAGCGGGCGCGUGAGCGAUCCCGUGGAGAGAUCACUAGUGAGAAUGAUGACAUGAGUAGCGACAAACAGGGUGAGAGACCCUGUCGCCGAAAGUCCAAGGGUUCCUGCUUAAAGCUAAUCUGAGCAGGGUAAGCCGGCCCCUAAGUCGAGGCAGAAAUGCGUAGACGAUGGGAACCACGUUAAUAUUCGUGGGCCAGGAGGAUGUGACGGAUCAUGAAGGUUGUUCACUCUUAUUGGAUUGAGUGGGCCGCUAAUUGGUUCCUGGAAAUAGCCCUCCAUCAGACCGUACCCUAAACCAACACAGGUGGACUGGUAGAGAAUACCAAGGCGCUUGAGAGAACUAUCUUGAAGGAACUCGGCAAAAUACCUCCGUAAGUUCGCGAGAAGGAGGCCCAGUGUUUACGCAAGUAGAUACUGGGGGCACAAACUAGGGGGUGGCGACUGUUUACUAAAAACACAGGGCUCUGCGAAGUCGCAAGACGACGUAUAGGGUCUGACGCCUGCCCGGUGCCUGAAGGUUAAAAGGAGGGGUGAGAGCUCCGAAUUGAAGCCCAGGUAAACGGCGGCCGUAACUAUAACGGUCCUAAGGUAGCGA
This 1446-nucleotide ribosomal RNA is filed under the name Chaetoceros neogracilis. RNAcentral describes it as "partial Bacterial large subunit ribosomal RNA". It matches the Rfam family "Bacterial large subunit ribosomal RNA", at positions 454 to 1962 of the family's 2925-position model. The record is from RNAcentral. Lineage: Eukaryota; Bacillariophyta; Thalassiosirophyceae; Chaetocerotales; Chaetocerotaceae.